AGAGUUUGAUCCUGGCUCAGAAACGAACGCUGGCGGCAGGCUUAACACAUGCAAGUCGAACGCUCGUAGCAAUACGGGAGUGGCAGACGGGUGAGUAACGCGUGGGAACAUACCCUCCGGUUCGGAAUAGCUCAGGGAAACUUGGAUUAAUACCGGAUACGGCUGAGAGGCGAAAGAUUUAUCGCCGGAGGAUUGGCCCGCGUUCGAUUAGCUUGUUGGUGAGGUAACGGCUCACCAAGGCGAUGAUCGAUAGCUGGUCUGAGAGGAUGAUCAGCCACAUUGGGACUGAGACACGGCCCAAACUCCUACGGGAGGCAGCAGUGGGGAAUAUUGGACAAUGGGCGCAAGCCUGAUCCAGCCAUGCCGCGUGAGUGAUGAAGGCCCUAGGGUUGUAAAGCUCUUUCAACGGUGAAGAUAAUGACGGUAACCGUAGAAGAAGCC
This 441-nucleotide ribosomal RNA is filed under the name uncultured bacterium. RNAcentral describes it as "bacterial SSU rRNA". It matches the Rfam family "Bacterial small subunit ribosomal RNA", at positions 8 to 492 of the family's 1533-position model. The record is from RNAcentral.